AUACGUAGGUCCCGAACGUUGCGCGAAAUUACUGGGCGUAAAGGGUCCGUAGGCGGUCUGGUAAGUGGAAGGUGAAAGCCUGGGGCUCAACUCCAGAAUUGCCUUCCAAACUGCCGGACUUGAGGCAGGGAGAGGUCGGCGGAAUUCCCGGUGUAGCGGUGAAAUGCGUAGAUAUCGGGAGGAAAACCAGUGGCGAAGGCGGCCGACUGGAACUGUCCAGACGCUGAGGGACGAAAGCCAGGGGAGCGAACCGGAUUAGAAACCCUAGUAGUCC
RNAcentral lists this ribosomal RNA (274 nucleotides) under uncultured bacterium. RNAcentral's name for it is "partial 16S ribosomal RNA". It matches the Rfam family "Bacterial small subunit ribosomal RNA", at positions 523 to 796 of the family's 1533-position model. The record is from RNAcentral.